RNAcentral lists this long non-coding RNA (20492 nucleotides) under Musa acuminata (dwarf banana). RNAcentral's name for it is "long non-coding RNA (MACU_LNC005543)". The record is from RNAcentral. Lineage: Eukaryota; Viridiplantae; Streptophyta; Magnoliopsida; Zingiberales; Musaceae.
CUUCUCUGAAUCGGGUUCGAUAAGAUCCUUAAUUGCUAUCUAAUACAUAAGUUUAAGAAGCACGCACUUGUUUUUAUAAAGAGUAGCUUAAUUGGUUUCUAUGACACAAAUUUGUCUGUUCCUACUUUUGUCUUCUAUAGCCAGAGAAAUUUCAGCAAAUUGUUACAGACAUUCCACGAGGAAGCUAACUAUAUGCGAAUGAAUUCACUACCCAGGAAAUUAUCAGUCAGAGACUAAGCAUAUGAAUGUCCGUCUUCCUAAAUAGGGCACUUAGUAGGUAAAAGAAGGAAACAAGUGGGUUUUUCUUCUUGUUUUAAACCACCUGUAAGUUGUCUUUUUUGGACUCCUUUGACUUAAAAAUAAGGAGUACUGAGGUAGGAUUAAAGAACAUAUAGUUGUCCACUUCCCAUACAUGUUAGCAUUCCAAAUCAAUAAUUCUUACUGGCAUUGUAAAUAUGCCUGAAAAAUAUCAAAGUUCUUGAAGAAAUAAUAGAAAAAAAUAAAAAGAUUGAUGGAGACAUAUUGCGACUUGAACUGUUCCAAAGUACUGGUUUUGUGAAGCUUUUUUCUGCAUGGAGAUCUCAGCAACUGAAAUUCCUUGUAUCUAAUAGAGAUGAUAAGUUUCAAAUCCUAGAAUUGUGCUUAUCUUGAUUGAACUUAGGUUUCAUUCAUUUGAUUCCAUUUCUUUAAAAUGUUCGUGCGAUCAUCUGAUUAUCAACUUAAACAUUUGAUGAUAGAGUUUAAUUCUAUAAAGUCUUUUAAGUUAAACUUUUUGGUUCAGGCUCUUGUCCUUCAGUUGGAAUGCCAGAAUUGAUCACAUAUCUCCUCAGAUUGAUUGUCUUUGGACCUUGAUAAUAGUCUAAAACAGGAUUUAAUUGUUGAAGGGAUGAUCCAAGACCAGAUAAAAUCUCUCUUGUCAGCAUAGUUAGAUGCCAAUGUAAUGGUGUAUAGACAUAGUUUAAAUUUAAGUGAAUCUCCUGUUAUUCAAGUGCUAAAGAGUAAAGACUAAAGGUUAACUAAAGGAACAACAAACUUGUGCUUCAUUGAGGAUAAAACCUCAUAGUAACACAACCAAAGGAUCAGAAAAGCAUCAGCAAACAUAUAUUAGAAAAUGCUAGCUACAUUUCUAUAUGUACAUUCAUAUAAAAUAUUAAGGGGGCCCUACAUUUGCUUGAGGCAAAGCUUCACUUCCAUUUCUUUUGUUAGACCUUGAUAAGAGAUGACCUUGCCUAUAAAGAUUGUCAUGUAGCUCACGUGGAUCUACACAUCGGCAUAAAUCGAAAUGUAUUAGUGCCAGUGAGAUAUCAGCACAUGUCCUGCCAAUUUAUGCCACAGGUGUUAACAUACGGGUUGGCCAAUUAUUGGUUGAUGCGUAGCAUAGGGGUGAAUUGACCAGCAUGACAUGAAGCGACACUGUGCUAGAAAGAUAUUGACAUGCUCUCAUGCCACCAUACUGCAAUAUUUGCUUAUUUUAGACAUCUGUGUUUAGUUCUAUUUUUGUCUAGAUUCUAAAUCUUCUAGAUCUGUAUAGAUUCUUGUAUAUUGUCUGUGAUAAUUGCUUCAUACCUUUUCUUCUCUUUUGGCUAUUUUAGCAUGUUGUGGAAAUGUAAUCUCCAUCAUUAUAAUCUUUAGCGCUCCAAACAUUCAUGAUGUUGUAAUGUGGCAAUUUAUUAUUCCGCAAAAAGCAACCUAAAAAAACAUACACAAAAGUAAAAUAAAAUAACAUGGUUAUUGUUAAACAUUAAAAUGAAGUUUAGUCCAAUUAGAACUUAAGUUUACUUGGAAGGUGCUGGGAUUUCCUCCAUUUAACAAUAGAUCAGCAAACUCUAAUUUAAACAGUAUGGAUUCAUUUGGAUGCAAUGCUUGAUAUCUUAUGUUAGGGUUUGCAUAGCAUGAGUCAGAGAAUUUUCUAUUUUUCCAGUUGGUGGAUUGCUCAUCAAUUUGCCAUGGAACUGUGCAGGAGCUCGGUUUUGCUGAGGAGCAGAUCCGAUUGUCUGAUGCAUUGUUUGAGAUAAGUCAAGGCCAGUGGGAGGGUUGUCUUCGGUCAGAAGUUUACUCCCCUGAAAUGGUUAAUUUGAUUGACAGAACACAGCCUGAUUUUUGUGCUCCUUCAGGAGAAUCACUCAGGCAGGUGGUAUUUCGGAUGGUUGAAUUUCUCAACAGGACAGUCCUAAGAUUGCCUGAAAAGCUGGCAGUGACAGAUACAUCAAUCCAUCAAAAUGAGUCAAAGGCACUCUCACGUAACAGCUCAUCCAAUUCAGUUCAGGACCGAGACGGGCCACACUGGGAUCUGCUGUACAGGCUCAAUCGACCAUCUCUUCAGAGGAAGAAAUCUGGUAAGAGCAGACUUCAGUUUGUCACCACUGGAGACAAUGAGACCGACGAGGAGUUCUCCCCCAGAGAAGUCACUCCAGGAAACCUCCUUCCUGAUGGUAGUAGAAACCCUAUUUUUUCCAUCGGGAUCUUCACUCACGCAAUUCCGAUUAAAUGCCUUCUCACUGGCCUGCUGGAUUGCAGUCCUGCAAUGUCUCAUAAAAUAUCCAUCGAUGAUUCUUCCAUGACAGCCCUGCAUCAUUCGCUAAGAACCGGAUGGCAGAUAAAGAGGCUCAAUGAUACAGCACAUCUCAGGCUUCUUUAAACUAUGAUAAAGGAUGAUAUACCAGGACAUUUAUCUGCCUUUCUGGCUGUAUUCUUGCUAAGUUAUGCUUUGUGUUGCGAAUGAAGAUGUUUCACGACUUUUGGUCAUGCGAGAUGACCUCACUGAUGUUUAGUGCUGGAAAUUGUUCCAAAUUGAGAUGAAAGCCGGAGAUCAUUAAGAUUCGAAAGCAAAACUGUGCUGCACAGGAAGUAAGCUUGUUUGUAUUUACUUUGUCCAUCACCUGCUAUAAGUGCCCAGGAUUGGAGGACAGAAUGUCCUGGGAUUAUCUGUCAUCGUCCCAUUUUUGCAUUGUAACUUAUGAAUCCUUUGUUUAGUCAAUCAAUUUGAGGUGCAAUUUGCCGGUUGUUUGUACAUUUUGACUGUGAUACUGAAAUCUCUGAAUGUGGUCCAUGAAUAUGAUUACCUGAGGUCCAUACAUAACUAUAUAUUUAUCAUGAUGAUUUAAAUUAGACCAGUUCUUGUGGCAGAUGAGCAAAAAAUAAAAAGAACAAAUGCAAACUGGAUUCCUACUUCAUUGUGUCAUACCAAUGAGAUGAUGAGAGAUAAGCUUCACAAGACGGACACAAUUAGCACCAUCAGCUUAUGGUAGUUAAUGUAAGCUUCUUAGAGGGAUGCUGGAGGAAGUGACUGACAUAUAUGAAAAAAGUUCAAAAAGUAUUAUGAAUUGUAAAGGCACAACAAAUAUAUAAUAUCAAGACUUCAAUACAUAUUUAGUCAAAGCGAUAGAACAUGAUGACACAAUUCAUGAAGUCAUGGCGUGUCUCCAAGUCUACCACGGAGAAAACUACGCGUUGAAUCGGACAAAACAAGUUGAAUAACAAAUCAAAGGUUGGCUUUUUCCCCCCACCUGACUCCAUUCCAAACAAUCCAAAGUCUCCAUUUGCCAACUCAACCAAGCGGACAAUCGAACGUGCCAUUUGGAAUGCGACGGCGGCCAGUCGACGGUCGACCCUCCGAAGCCAUCCAUCACCUUCAAACAUUUAUCUAAAACUGUAAAUUAAAAAGUCUACUUCAAUGUCGUUGCAAUUAAUCUUUAUCAGUUGACCCGUUCGUAUAAUAAUAUUAUAAUUUUUAAUAACAUUUCCUGUACUAUGUAAUAAAUAUUACAUAUGUUUCUACAAAUUAAUAAUAUUUAUAUUUAUCAUUUUCAUCAUUUUGUUAGAACCCUUGCAGAUUCUAAACUUGGGGUUGAUCUCUUUAGGGGAUCGACCUCCUUGGAACUCUAUAGGGGUUCCUCCCUCCAAGUUGCUGCUCAAAGGCUACAGAAAAGAUUCAUCUAUUGCUUGAGAAAAGAGGAGGAAUACAUGGCUAUUUAUAGGGCUUCUAAACCCUAACUCCUAAUAGGACUCCUACUUAAGACUCUUACUUCUAACUAACUCCUAAUAGGACUCCUACUCAAGACUCCUAUUCCCUUACAACUCCUAAUUCUUCUCUAAGAAAAAACCUCCUACAUGAAUGUCCCUCUCAAUUAGGAUUCUCCUAACUAGAGUGUCCCUCUCAAUUAGGACUCUCCUANNNNNNNNNNNNNNNNNNNNUUCUCCUAACUAGAGUGUCCCUCUCAAUUAGGACUCUCCUAGCUAGAGUCCUAACAGAAUGUCCCUCUCAAUUAGGACUCUCAUAGCUAAAGUCCUAACAGUUUUACAUGAAUGUCCCUCUCAAUUAGGACUCUCCUAGCUAGAGUCCUAACAGAAUGUCCCUCUCAAUUAGGACUCUCCUAGCUAGAGUCCUAACACAUUUACCCUUAAAAAAAAAAAAUUAUAUUUGACUCUCCUACAUUUAAACUUUUUUUAAAUGUAUGAAAAGGUGCAUUAAUUAUUUUAAUUUUAAUUUUUAAUAUAUAUUGGAUGAAUUUUCGACAAAAGUUCAGUUAUAGUGUUUUUAAAAUAUGUUGCAAUAUUUUCAAUAAUACUAAAAAAACUUUAACAUAGUAAAAAAAAUAUUAUAAUAAUAUAUCUCACAAAUUUUCUUUCGUUGUCUUCAAAUCUCUCUCGUCAUGAAUAGUGUGAUGUUCUUCACUUUCAUCGAGCCCGCGCUGUCUUGUACUUGUUUGACCAGAAAAAGCCGACACGAGGAGAAUAUUUUAGAGAGGUAUGAUGAGAGUGGUUGACGAACUCACCCAACGUUGAUUGAAGGAGCUGCUUCUCUUCUCCAAUCUGCCAUUCCCAAGUCUACCAUUCCAAGUCUUCGGUUGUUUUGGACCGCCGCGAGGUAAAGACGAGUUCUGUUUUUCUUCCUUUUUUAUUUGCAUUGUGAUCACCAGUUCUUCCCUUGCCAUUUCAGCUCCGAUCUUUUCCUCUCUUCCUGUACUCUCCAUUGCCUAAAAGAGGGGAUUUUUGGGUUUGGAUUUGGGGGUUUGGGAGAAGCAAGGAGAGAGGAGGAUGAAGUCGCCGCUGAGAAUGUUUCGAGGCCUGAAGCAUCAGGGCCACGAGGCCAAGGAGGGGAAGAAGCAGCAUCGCGCCCGGACGAAUCAGGACGAACUUGUCCAGAACACCCGGGUAGAACCGGUCCUCCUGUCCUUGACUGCACUUCUCUGAUUGCUUACUUGGUUUCGUGAAAUAUACAUCGAAAAAGUUGGAUCUUUAUUUCGAUUCCACACAAAAAUAUCUAUUUUUCUCUCGUUUUGUAGUUUGUCUCCGUAAGAGGUCUCCUUGUUUUGAUGAAACAUGCUGCAACUUUUGGUGUCUACUGCGUUACAGAAUCUAAGUUGAAAAGCUUCUUUUCUUUCCCUUCGUUUCUCAGUUCAAAUCAAUUGCAUUUAUUUUCUGCUUAUGAAUUUUGUUCUGGAAUUAUGGAAUGGUUUGACCAAGAUCUUCUCAUGAGACUUAAAAUUCUUAUGCCAACUCUGUUUUACCUGUUUAGUGCCAUCAGCAUUACCUCCACUAUAUGCAAGUUUCUGUUUGUUUUAAUUGAUCUAGUUCGUGGGAGUGACUUGUUACCUCCAACCAAAGACACCAAAUAUUCUUUGUCAUCAUCUAAACCUUUUUCCAUCAGUAGAAUAUAAUAUUUGUUUAUCUUUCCUGGGAAUUAGGAUUAGGAGUUCAUUUUUUUCACUUCUAUUUUCAUCAUGAAGAAGGCAAGGAGACAAUUGCAAGUUGCAACAAUGAAAACUUACGUCCCUUGGCUUUAUUCUAACAGGUAGAAGACUUAAGAAGCUUUACUGGGCAGUUUCACAUGGAUGCUUGUGUCCAAGCUCACUGGACAUGUUGGAUAUGCAUCCAUGUAUACACAACUCAGACACUUGUCUGAUUUUUUAUGAUACUAUUCUGUUGUCAAACAACAACAAUAAGACUAGUGGGUUCUUUAAUGAUUCUAUAGCUUCUUGUAAACUUAAUUGUAAUAGUUUCUAUUUUCAAAACACUACAACAUACACAUCAUAUUUUAAAAUUAUUAUUCUUUAUACAUGUCUUCAUAUCUCCAGUUUGUCUUCUUUCUGAACUGGAUAUUAUAUAUGAGUCCUUAUCGGACUUCAUGUGCAUCAAAUAACACUGGUGUUAAAGGGAAAGAACACAACCACAACAUGGUGACCCUUACUAUCCUGCCACUCAACUGCUCAUCAAGGCAAUAUUCCAAAUGUAUUUUUUAUCAGCAACCAAUUUGGAUCGAGAAACUAAAGGAUUGCACAUAUUUAGCUUACGAGAAAAAUAGACAAAGUGAAAGCCUAAAAUUGUUAGAAAGAAAAGGAUAUAGAUUGACUUCAUUAUCAUUAUAAGGUAAAACUUUUGUUCUCUUAGUGCAGGUUAUACAUUACUCAUUCAUGAAAUAUGUCAGUAACAAUGUCAACGGUAUUUUGCCUUUGUCCUUGUGUUAAGAAAUCUAUACUUUAAUAAAGAAUUAAAUAUCAGCCAUGGAUUUGUCAAUGUGGCAUUUAGUUACGCUACACAGUGUGAUGACUUUUUAUGACUAUUCAUUGGCAUCACACUGAUCAUGAAAAAAAGAUAUUUGAACCAUAGUAUGGGGGAAAGACUAUCCUUGACUUGAAGUCAACCGAUGGAGGCAGAGAGCAGUUAUUUUUGUUGUAUAACUUACUAAUGAUAAGAGCUCAAGUAACCAUCAUGAAUCCAAAAUAAUUCAUGAAAAGGAGUCACAAAUUAGUAGACGAGAAAGUGUAGCAACUUUUACUUUACAACUUUCAGCCUAGUCUUUGUAUUUUAUUACUGGUUCUGUCCUAUAUGGUUUAAGCAAUUGUCAAUAUUGGAAGCCUUUUCCUCCUCCUUUUUGCUGUCAAAUCAUAUUUUCUUUCAGAAAUUUUUUGGGCCCUAUAUUAAAGUGUCAACAUGUGUGCUCACAUAUGUUGGUGUAAUGAUGUUGAGUCAGGUCCACCUGGCAAAAUGACGAAACUUACUUUCGCAUUGCUGAGUCAAGUAUGAUUUAUACCCAUAUAGGGCAUAGAUCCAGGAUCCAUAUCCAAUCCAGUUAGGUUUAAUAGAUCCGAUAUCAGGAUGCUUCAGAUUUCAUUUUGGGGUAUUGAGCUACAUUAACACCUUCAGUUGGUGUCCUUCAGUAGACAUUGCAUCCGCACUUGUAGACAUGGAUAGUAAACAUACUAACAUGGGUCCCAUAUUAAUGCAUGUCAGAUCUAGGUCAUGUUGCCUGAAGGAUUAGUUUUGUUUAUUGAAUUGAGAAAUUAUUCAACAUUCCUGCUGUACUAUGGAUGAGACAGCUGGAGUGAUUUUAAAUUGAGUCUGCAAACUGUUCCACUUUCAUUAUUUUCUCUAGUUGUCACUGUGCAUAUUUCAACAGUUAUUGGUUCUCAUUGCAUAGCUCUAUCUCUCCAGUAUUUAAAAAUUUUUAUACUUACUGUAUGUGUGUCGGUGUUACAAAAUAACAGCUUCUAACAGCUCCAAAUUUUUUAGCUUGACUUUUAUGUAUAUGGGUGUUAAACUGUGCAGCUCUUCUCUCAGAAUUUCUAGGAAAUUUGAACACUUCUUCACUUGGGUGAAUUUACAAGACAUAACACAAAAAAAAGAUAAAUAUGAUGAUGAUUGUUAUUAUGGCAACUCACAAACCGAUCGAAAGAAUAAUUGAAAUAAAUGAAAAUCCUUUUUACAUAACCAUUAGAUUUGAUGACUUGGUGUCAUCUGGUGGCAGGAUUUGCAGGAUUUGAAGAGCUGCUAUGAUAGCAUACUGUCUGCAGCAGCUACAACUGCAAAUAAUGCACAUGGUACUGGUUCCUGCGCUAUUACACAUUAAAGGAAUUUAUUUAACUAGAAAGUAAAAUAUGGCUGGCUAUUCUUGUUUAUCUGCAAAUUACAUUCUAAUUGAAUUUGUACCUUGGUUAUAAAGAAAAAAAAUAUAAUAUUCAUCUUCUGAGAAGUUGCAUCAUGUUUGCCAAGUCAGAAUGUAAUUUAUCACAAAUACAAAUGAUGUUAAAUAUGUUAGAUUGUUUUCCUCUCUUAUGAGUGCAGCAUAAUUCCAAUUUUCUGAAUGCUGAGUGGUAUACAUGUUAAGAUGCUGUAAACAGAUAUUUUUUAUGAUUUGCUUUAUUUGAUGGUGUUUCUGAAUCAGAAAGAUGUAUAAUGUACUUCACAAUCUAGUUCCAUUGGUUAGUUUAUCAGGAGUUGCUUGGUUAAGCUUUAAUUAUUGUAAUUAAGGCAAUAAAGAAAAAUAUUCUGUAAAGUAUGUCUAAUCCAAACCAGAAGAAUUCUUUGAUCAAACAAAACAAUGUUAUCAAAGAAUUCAUAUAAUCAAAAGGUGUCCUGCAGCAAUAUGUUAGUGUUCUUAUAGGUAAUAAAACUUUAUUUACAACUUAUACCGGAUCCGCAUGUUGCAUCUUUGAUAGUUUUUCUAUUGAUUUUAUCUCCAUUUUGUGUGUGUAUCUAAGCUUAUCUGAUAAAUGGUAAGAAUUUUGUUAAAUAUUGUUUCCAAUGCUUAUUGUAUCUACUUGUUUACUCUUCGAUUACUUUUCUUAAUUUGCAGAUUUUUUUCAUUUAUUUUUAUCUUUUUAUUUUUUGCAAUUCUUGUAAUCCAUUUUAUAUUCAAUGAGUUUGGGGAUCUUCUUGUCACCUGCUGAAGUCCUUAUGCCCUUCAAUAUAAAAAACUAUCACUUUUCUUUCCCUUCCUUCACUUGCCAGCUCUUAAUACUAUAAUCUAGACAAAUAUAAUUAGUCUAUGCCCCUCUGGAUCUCUAUUAUUAUGAUAUACUGCAUUUAGUGGAUUGAUAUAAUUUUUUUCAAGGAUACAUUUUAAUCCUACUUUUCUUAGGGUUUAUCUGUUUAAUAUUAUUUUUUCCAGAAAAAAAAAAAAUUAAGUCAUCACAGAUCUAGUAAACGAUCUGUGUAAGUCAUUAUACAAAAGCGAGGAAAGUUCAGUAGUUAAAGAAUUCUCCCUCAAAAGAGAAAACUUAUGAAUCCUAGAAUUUCUAGCAGCCCAAUUGGCUGCUUGAUUACAUUCUUUAUAGCAAUGCAUCACAUUAAAUGUGAUUAUUUCUUGUGAAACGAUUUUGAUAUUCGCAACAAUCUGUUUAAUAUUAUGCUAGACUUAAGACCUUACACAAUAUUGCCUAGUACUUAAGAAGCCAAUUACCAUGAAGCAAUUUGGAUCUGAACCAGAUAUGGGUUAUCUGGAGCCAUGGCCAGCCAAGAUAUUCUCUUUUGACCAAUCAUUGGGGUUUUUUGGUCCUACAGAUGGAUGCACAAGGCAGGUCACCCUAUUUCCACUAGGCCUAAUUGUAGGUAACCUGAGAGCAGAUGUGGCCUCUGACAUGAUAGUUUAUGUCCUUAUGAUGGAGGUGAUGUUGACUGCAGUGAACAGAUUUAGAAAGGCUCUAGAUAGUUAAACUUAAAAGAGAAUCUAAAUCAAUUAGGAACGGCUCCAAGCUCAGUAACAGCAGGAUCAAAGCAGCUUAAAAUAAUUUGUGAAAGGCAAACAGGAGACCAAAGCUCAUUGAGAUGCACCAAAGGAGGCAAGGGAAGUUACACACCCUUCUCCUAACCAAAAUAGUAACUCUUCCAUAUAUAUAUCUCUUAUGCAAUAAAUAUAGUUUUUAGACUGGUCUAGAAUCCUUUAAUAGACAAGGAUGUGAUUUUCAAACUUAUGUUUGACUAUUGCUUUCUCUUCUUUUGCAUUAACGAUGUAGAAAGUUACUAGUAAUUAUAGUUGAUAAUUUUGUUUAGCUUCUACCUAUCCUUGAGUUGAGGUAGCAAUUGUUAGAGGAUUACUAUGGUAUCAAUAUGAUGAAUGUAACAUACUGGUAUAUUUCAAAGGCAUUCUAAAUUUGUAUAUUCUUUCAGAGUUCUCAGAAGCACUGGAGGAACUGGGCACCUGUUUUCUUGAGAAAACUGCAUUGAAUGAUGAUGAAGAUAGUGGUGAGAAAAUCCAACUUUGUACUUUUAUAUAUGCCACACGGUAUAAGUGUAUGACUAUUGAUCUCACAAGAUAAACCCUAAUUCUUCUGUGUUUUCUGUAGAUUUCUCAUAUACUUAGCCUCCUGCAACUACGUCAAGUAUACUAAUCAUAUAACUAAACCUUACUGAAUGUAUUUAAUGCAACCUGGAGUUUUCUUUAGAUAUACCUGAUUCCCCCUUCCUAAACUAUGAAGAUACCACAAGGAUUCUUUCUUUCUCGAGAAUGAACAGUAGAUACUUGUUGUGAAGAAUUGAUUUAUUUUACAAAUUGUUUUAAUCAUUAUUUGCCAUUCUUUUAGUUUUUCCAACCUCUUCAACAACUAAAUCCAUAUUAGUCAUUCAUGCAGGUCGGGCUUUAAUGAUGAUGGGAAAAGCACAAUUUAAGUUGCAAAAACUUUUUGAUGUAUAUGUGAGUCCUCUAUUCUGUGUUGUGAAUGCAGGAAGUUGUUCUUGUCACCACUUUGUCUAAGCAAAUAUGUUGGUGUCAGUAUAAGAUGAGAAAUUUUACUCUAUCUUGCAGCGGGUCCAUAUCUUACAGACAAUGGAUAAGCCAUCAAGAUCCCUUCUCAGAGAGCUUCAAGUUGUAGAGGUUUGAUCCUUUUAGUACUUCUUUCAAAUUGGAAGUUGAAUGGUCAAUUAGAGAAUUCUUGAAGUUCCCUUUAUACUGAGUUGCUCAUUUAUAUCUUAUGAUCUUUGACAAAGUCAGGGCUACUUACCAAGCAUUAUAUAUCACUUUAGGUUUUCACUCUUCUGUUGGAUUCUGUCAUUAGAAUCCUUGUCAGGCAUCCACUGAUUUGAAGAUGGCCAAUCAUGUCAUAAACAUAAAAUAAAUCUAAUGUCAUAAUUGAAUAAAGAACUUGGUGCAUUUGAUAGUUAAAAGAUAUCAUUGUUCUAAGGUAGUGCCUUCUAUAUUAUCAAGAUUAUAUUAUUUCAGAUUUUGAUGGCAUAUGCAAUUUACUAAUGACAUUACAAUGAUCAGACCAAAGAUGGGAUAAACUUUGAGAAUUUUAGAUGCAUAUUAGAAUAUAUAAAUUAUAGAAUAAGCAGAUUUAAGUUUAAAUAGCAAUCACCAGAGAGUAAAUUGAUAGCAACUGCUUAUGUCUUGCAUGUUGUUAGGAAAGUAAUGCCAUAGGGGACAUUGCUUACCAAUUUAGCACUGGAGCAUUAAAGUGGAGAAAUAUAUGAUGGUCCUUAUUAUCACUUGAUGCCCAUUAAAAGGGUUAUAGGUCUGGUGUAGUGAUGCUUUAUGAGUUGGAGUUAUGUUGGUUACUCAAACAUACAUCUGGAAAUGGAUGCACUAUAAUUGAAAAUGUUGGAAGGGAUCAAGAUGUUAAUGUGAAAGAAUGGCAAGUUGGAGGCAUUUAUCAAGUAUACUGUGAGGACUACCAAUUUGAGUGGUCCCUUCAUAUGUGAUUGAUGUGGCUUAGCUUCCAAAAUCAUAAAUUGAACAUAAAAAAGGAAUAAAAGGAUGUAACAAGUAGAUAAAACUUCUAUAUAAUUCUCUGGUAUCAAUGAUAUUUGAGACUUAAAAACUAAUAUAAUUUGUAUCUGAAGGCCUGAGGUCAUUCCAUUUUUUUUAGGUCAGAAUUUGGUCUGAACUCUGAAAUGGAUGCUGCAAUGUUGUGGAUGGAUUACAAAAUUCAGUAUUUUAUUCAUUUACGUCUAUGAUUAGAUCUUUGGUUCAGUAGAAGUUUUAUGGUUAUUUUGCUACUUCUGUUCGUCUUUAAGAUCCGUAGUACUUCAAGGCGAGGUUGCUUCUUCAUAACUUAGGUGUCAAGCGUUUGAGUUAGAGAAACAAUUGCUGCAUGCAGAAGCGAAGUUGCAUAUAUUUGACUCUUUCCAUCCUUCUAUUAGUCUCUUGAGGUUAAAAGUCUCACAAUAUGAAAAGCUCUAGAGACCAUCUAGAUAUUGAUUGUUCAUUUUGGUGCAUGUCACUUAUCUUUGUUUUUAAUUCUCUCUCUCAGGUGUCGCCAUCAUCAUCAAGCACUUUUAAAAAUUUUGUUCUAAAAUUUAAAUAGAUUUUUUGAUCUAUAAUUUUUCUCCUGCUCUAUCCCUCUUAUAUCAUCAUUUAGUACAAAUGAGGUUGAGGGCAGUGAAAAUGGAUGUACCACAUGUUGACUAGGUAGGUCAUAGAAGGCUUGGAUUCCAUUAAUUUGGUAAGUACAUAUAAUCAGUGUCUGAAAUACCACCUGAAACGAUAUGAAACAGGUGGUAUGUAUUGGUCGGCCAGCUAACCAAUAUAUCAAUCAGUCCAUUUUGGGCAGUUUGCAGGAAACAUGUAAGGUACUGACUGGUACAUCACUCUUAUCGAUCGAUACAGACGGUAAUGAUAGGAGUUUGACCAAUACUGAUCCAAAUCGUCUAAAGUUUGACCCUAACAGUCAAUUUGAUCGUUGGGAUCUCUUUUGGGGUUUGAAUCCCAUCCCUUUCUCCUCUUUCACUCUCAUUCUCAUUAAACUCUCCCAUCCUUAUAACCUAAGAUUCCUAUUCAUUUAUGCCUCAUAUAAACUUUACUGCUGUUUAAAUAUAAUAAAAUUACCAUUAAAUUAGGAUAAAAAACCUUAAAAAGGUUCUUUUUUUGUAAAUUCCUAAUUAUUUUAUUUUUUUUAAAAUUAGUACAUCUGGCAUACCAACCUAUGGUAUGCUAGUACCAAUCGGUACAUAUCAAUCUGCCCAUGGAUCAAUACCACCAGUCGGCACGAAAUGGAUCUAUGUAUAUAACCAAUGUUGUCAAAAAGACCCUCACUUAACCACUUUGAUGCAGACGCUUACAAAAGGAGAGACCGAAGUGAGAAAAAAAAACUCUUGAGGGAUUUGAUUUAGUUACUUCUACAAUCCCUCAAGCAACAUCCACAUGCAACUGUCCAUUUAUUUGCAUCGUGCAUUGUGGAGUUGAAUUGCAACUAUUGCUGGUCACUUCUAUCCUCUCCUCACAGUAGUUUUCUUCCUUGUUUUUUCCCUUCCCUCAUAUCUCCUCGUCUUUCCUCCACAAUCACUCUCCCCUCGCUCAGAGAUUGUUCUGUCGUUGUUGUUGCUCUCCCACAUUCUUCUCUUCCCUCGUUUUCCCCUCUCCUCUCUUCGUGGCCAGCAAAUUUGACCACCAUCGCCUUUUCUUGCAUCUUAGCUCUUAUCUUUCUUCCCUCCCUCUUCUUCUCUCCUCUUUGCUCUCCACGGUCAGUGCCUGCCACUAUCAACACCCUCUUCUCUCCCAUCCCUCUUCUCAAAAUUUUUGACAUUGUUGUCCAUCCCUCCCCCUUCUUUUAUCCUCUCUCCAUGGUUCUAACUGGCUCCUCCUUCCAUCUUCUUUCCUCUCUCUCUUUUAAUUUGAUCUUUAAUUAUAUUUAUGUAAGUUUUGUAAGGUGUGCUCUUUGAUUUGCAUAGGCAAAUGCCUAUGUGAGUGCCUACCUCAUUGAGCAGUACAGCCCAUGGUGCCUAAUAGCUCCUAGCUUUAUGGACAAUUGAACAAAAAAAGAAAUACUUGGAUUGCUAUAUUCAGCAUGACUCCGUUCAGAUUUGUCAAAAGAAACUUAGUUCCAUAAAUCCAUGAAAAGUUUCAUCAAUGAUUAUGCAAAAAAAUAUUUAAUAUGAAUUCAAGACUUUCUUUAUUGAUCAUACUUUAGAUAUUCCUUAUAACUGGAAGUCUCUUCUGAAUGUCUAGAACUUUAAAUUGGAUUUAGAAACUUUAAUCGACUUUUGCAAUACACUCAAAAUUGUUUCAUAUGCUUAGCGACCUAAUUAGGUUCAAACCUUAGGACAACAUGAGAGAUAUUAUGGAACUUUAGGUAACAAUAUCCUUGAAAAGUUUAAAAUUGUAAAUUCACCACUGGAAGUUCAUAUUUCAUAUACGCAGAUACUUAUAUCAGACAUAUCUUUCAAAUAUAUAUUUAAGCUUAUGUGUGCUAUAUUCUAGAUUCCUAAUUUUGAAGGAAAAUAUAUGCAUAUAUCAACCUUGCAAGAGCAAAUAAGCAAAUUAUGACCUUUUCAGGUUGCAUAUGAUCUUCCUCUCAAUGUAACAUGAACAGAAGAAAACUUUCCACGAACAAGUAAUAGUCCCUCCCUCUCAGGCAUAAAUAUUUCCUGGAUAUAGUUAAGAUGUACUGGUAUAACAUUACCUAUCCAUUAAGUUUGCAGUUGAAAUUGACAAUCCUCUGAAUUUCAAGCUUUUACUACCUUGUUGGUAAAACCGGUUUCAAUCUAUCCUUGUGAUAGCUAAUUUUUUAACAAUGCCUUUGAGUUUUGGACAGUGCUGGCCCAGUAUUUUUAUUGGAUUAUUGUAAAGAAGAAUAAAUUUCUUCAAUUUAAGUCUUCACUUUUUGAACUUCUACCUUUAUGAUAAAGUAUGUUUCACCCUUCCAUAGACUGGCAAAUGACUUGAUCAUGUUUUGUUUUUGGGGGCUAGCGCCUGUCGGCAUGGAUCAGCAUGAAUUCCAUGCACCUGUCAUGCUGGCAUAAUCAGCAUGAACUCAUCCUAUGACAUUUAAAACCUUGGUUUGUUUGGUGUUCAAUACAUAUGUACAUCAACUACAGUUUUGGUUUUCCUGUUCUUUGUUGCUAUUCCAGGGUUACUGCACUGUUUUAUUAACCACAUUCAGGCUGUUUACUGCUUAUUGAUAUUGUAAUAGAAACAUUAUCUUUUGUAAGAAAUUUAGAUGUGUUAUUUGCUUGGUAAGAUUAUUUUCGGUUGCAGGAAAUGAAACGCCUUUGUGAUGCUAAAAGGUAAGGAAGUAUCAAAAUUGUGUCCUCUGCUGUAGUGUUUUAGUUCUUAUGUUAGACUUGCCAUCUUCAGAGAGAUAUAUAGGAACUCGUUAGAGGCACAUAGAGGAAAAUGGAUGUUGAGAUAUUCCAAAUCUGGAACUUUCUCAUCAAAGGAGUUGCAAGAAGCUCAAGCCAAUUAUGAAGAGGAGGAAAACAUGUUUAUGUUUCGAUUGAAAUCAUUAAAGAAAGGUCAAUUUCAAAGUCUUCUGACACAAGCCACUCGCCACCAUGCUGCACAGGUAGUUUAACUCGUAUCAAGAACAUAUGUUCUCUUCAUAGAAUAAACUGUUAUUCUGAUGUUAAUUUUCCUCUCAUUGGAUUCAGCUAACAUUCUUCAAGAAAGGACUUAAGAUGCUUGAGAUGGUUGAAUCACAUGUUAAAGCCAUUGCUGAACAACACCAUAUUGCUUACCAGUUCAGUGAUCUUGAAGAUGAUGUAUCAGACUAUGAUGAUGAUGAUGAUGAUUAUGAUUAUGGUGGCAGUGAUGUUGGGGAGCUAAGUUUUUAUUAUAAAAAAAAUUUCCAAGGAAAAAAUGUUAUUUAUACAUCUCAAAACUCAAUAGAGGUAAAAUUCUGAAGGCUUUGUUUUGUGUUACUUAUACUAUCAUUUUAGAAGAACAUUCUCCAUUAUAGAUAUGUUAACUGGUUAUUAAAAAUGAUUUAAAGCUGAUAUAAUUAGUGUUGCGUGAAACGUGACUUCAAAAGGAAGCAUUAAUGUAUGCAUGCACUUAGCCUCCAUCAUUUACAACAAAUAAAAUGAUAUAGAAAGCUAUCAGGACACUAUGUCAACAAGUUAUAAGCAUUAACAUGUGCGUGUGCUUGGCCAAUAAAAAAAAUCAUGCAGAAAACCUGUAAUAAGCCGGUUCAAUGAUUUCAUCCAUCAUUUACAAUGGGUAAAAUGUCACAAGUUGCUCUUCUUUUAUUAUUUAGCUUUCCUUGUAGACAUCAUCAUUCCUGCUUCCUUAGAGACAUGUAUUUGCUGAAACCUUGAACUUCAAUUAAGAACUUGAUCUGUUUUGACAUGAAUUUUUGUGUACGUUCGACAUCAUUGUAUAGAUAUGUAGUCUUUAGGACUUUAGAACAAGUCAAAAGAAGACCUACUGAGGUGGACAGGUAGUGAAGUAUGUUCAGAAAGUCAGAGGUUUGAUUCAAGUAGCAUCCUUCAAUGAUACCAAUGGAAAUAAUUUAAGAUUUUUCAACAUAUAACAACAAGAAAAAGACAUGGACUAAUUUGGUUGACUACAUGGCCUUUUCCCAUCAUUGAGCUCUAUUUAGAGUGACAUCCCUGGUCAAACUAAGAGCAGCCAGAUCUUGUUUUUAUUGUUUCUUAUAAAGUUUUGCAUGCUUCCCUCUACCUCUCCUUGCAUCACUUAUCAUAAUCAACUCCAUCUUACUAUGGCAUACACAUGUUUCCUCCAAGUAUGACUAUAUCAUUUGAAGUGAUAUUUUCUCAUUUUAUUCUAAUAGAGCUAAACUAAAUUAUUUGCUAAUUAAACAUUUCUUGUUCUACCUUUCUAAUAACUGUGAAUAUCGACCUACACUUUUUCAUCUGGGCUACAGUAACUUUUUGAGCAUGUUAUUUCUUAACUGCCUUACACUGGACAUAUAAAACACAUUUUUUUUUAUAUUAUGUUAAUCUUAUGAGUACAUGAAGAUCACACAAGACUCAUGACAUACCAUGCAGACUGUUUUGGUAGUGUUCAACCAAAAAUAGUUCUUGAUAGAAUACCCGUGAAUAUUCUUGAAAAACAAUUGACACCAAAAUCAAAUUGCAAUAAUUGAUAAAAAAUAGUAUCAUUUUAUAAACUGUAAAGCUGAAGAAGUCGUCACUUUGGUAAAAUCUUUCUUGUCUAAAAAAUUUGAGCUUAAGUGGAUAAGGGCAUAUGGAUUCGCUACAACUACAAGAAAUUUCUCAUAUGUAUUCGGACAGCAGUGUUUUAAUCAAAAGAUAAAAAGUGUGACACAGAAGUAAAGCAAAUAAAUACAUCAAUUUGAUAAUGUAAUGUCUGUUUCUGGAUGUUUUCUGUUUAUGAUCUAUCUCAUUUUACUAUAACAUGGUUUAUUUUAUGCUUUAUUUCACUUGUGCAGGAGAGCAUCGACAGAAGCCAAUUAGACAUGCUCAGUUUCAGGCCUGGAUACAGCAGCCAAUCAGCACCAAUUUUUGCUGAUAAGAAGCUUGAUUUAACUGAGAAGACAGAAACACCACCCUUAUCAACCAGAAAAUUUCACUCAUAUGUGCUACCUACACCAGUUGGUGAUAGAAAUCCAGAAUCAAAUCCUGGUACUGCUCCUUGUGUGGAGAAAAAUGAUAGUUCCCCACCACUGUGGAAUUCAUCUCCAUUAGAGGCAAAAAGACCUGUAAAAGAUUUCAGGGAGAGAGAAUUAUCAAGUUCAACCACCUUCAAGAAUUCAGUACUUAGAGGGAGCAAUAUUAACAGUGGGCCCAUCAGUAUGCCAUCAUAUUUCUCAGAGAAGCUGUCAAUGCCGCAAAUUAAUCAAAAAACAGCUUAUGAUACUAAUAAUUUCAGACGACAAGCCUUCUCUGGCCCAUUGACAAGCAAACGUUUUUCAAGCAAACCCAUAGUUUCUACUCCUGAUUAUAGAUCUUCAGUGGAAUUUCCCCCUGUAGGCUCUUCCGCAUCACAACACGUGUUUAAACCUCAAUCAUCUCCACCUCAUAAGGAGACUCAUAGAACUUCACCUCCUCCUGUAUCAUAUCCAAAAAUCAGCGAGCUUCAUGAGCUUCCUAGGCCCCCAGUUGGUUCAGAGAAGUCAACAGGAGCAUCCACUUUGAUUGGUUAUUCUGGUCCCUUGGUCUCUAGAAGCAAAGUGCUUAAUGCAAGAAAUAAUAUGCCAUCAGAUGUCUCAUAUAAGACAUCACUACCAGCACCUUUUGUACAUAUCAGCCGCAGUUUCUCAAUACCAUCUAACAGUCAAAGAAUAUCAAUGCUUACAGCUGCUAGGUUGUUGAAGUCUCCUCACAAUCUAGUCACAGUAGAAGAGAUCACUUCAUCACCUCUCGCAAUCUAAUGACCAUACUUCCAGUAUCUACAACUUCAUAACUGAUUGCUGCAGUUACAGAAAAAAGUGGGAGUUGCUAAAACCACAUUUAUGUGUUCCAUUUUCUAAAGGUAACUUCUUCAAUGUGUUUCAUACUUUAAAGUGUGUAUAUAUGCAUGUAUAUUUCAUGUCUCAAUUAGGCGUUUAUGACAGUAAGUUUAGAUUGAAUAUUUCGAUGGUAAGCAAACAUGAACUUGUUAGACAUGUCAGUAUUAUUGUCUUCCUACAGAUUUUCCUUGAAGUUGUCAGAAAAAGAGUCUUGAAUAUUUCAAUGUGAGCAAACAUGAAUUUGUUACACAUAUCAUAUUAUUGUCUUCCUACAAAUUUUCCUUGAAAUUGUAGGAAAAAGAGUCAUCUGUUUCAAUGUGACACAUGAUACUCUGAUAUGUUGCCACCUUGUCUAUUAAAUGAUAGGAUCUAGUUCCACAUAGGGUUUUAGAAGGCUUGAUAAUCAUUCAUUAAAGGUUUAUUUCUUUUUUAGUGGACAAUUAAUUUCUUUUGGCUUCUUCAGGAUAUGAUUAUUUAUUGCAUUCCUGUACUUUGAGCAGUUUACAUUAUUUGUGCUGUUGGAUAUUCCAUUGGUCGAUAGAAGUUUAGUAGUUUGAAAAACAUGAUGUAAGUAAUAAAACACCAGAACACGAUUUGCAGAUAUAAUAUGUUGUAUUAUGGAGCAUGUUAAAAAACAUGGAAAACACAGUAAAGCAUGUAGAUGAAGACAUAGAAAUCAAUGAGGUUCUCAAAAGUGGAGUGAAAAUAGCACAUGGUUCUUGAUAUGAUGCCCAAAUAAAGGUAUUGAAUGCUAUUUAGUAUCUGCCCAAAAAAUAUUCUAAAUGAGGACAAAAGACAUAUGCUAUUUGCAUUGUGCAACCUAUAUGUAGCAGCAUGAGUCAGAGCUUAUGACAUGAGAUGUCAAACCAACUGAAAUUUAAACACUUGCAUUAGGUGAAAGGAAGUUAAACAGAAUUUUGUAAAAGCUUAUGUUGUACUUUGAAGAUUUUUUUUAAAUUCGUUAGGGAAAUAUGGAAUAAACAAGCUGCUUUGUCAAAUUCAUUGCAUAAGUUUCUGAUAGCAAUUAACAAAAAAUCUUAUCAUGAUAGAUUUACCAUUGAUGGAAAAAUGGUAAAAGGUUACUUGCUUCCUUUCCUGUUCUGGUAAUGAGAGUAGCAGUGGGCCGUUGACCAAAAUGGGACUAGUGACAAUUAACAUAGAUAAUAUAGGGUUGCAUGAAUAAGCUGCAUAUAGCUUAAUCACUCUGCAAUAGAUUUUGCAUUGUCAGAAAAUGAGAAUGCAAUUAUAUCAGUCUUCUUCCUAACUUCUCUAAGGGUUUCGAUGAUCUUAUACUCACAUAGUUAUAGCGGCACUUAUCAAUUGGAAAAGUUAUUGAUUAGAUUCUCCCUGAUCUUUACUUUUUUCUCUUGUCAUAUUAUAGAAAUGCGGACAGGGGCUUUAACUUGUUGAAAAUGUUGGAUAUGGGUAGUAGUUAAAAUUACAUUGCAAGUCAAAGAGCUCUUAAAAAGGCAGAUUUUUGGUUGAAAAGGAUUUUAUUUACAAGGUGGAAAGGAAUUAAAACAUCUCCAAUAGAAAUGCUGCACUUCUUGAAGCCAGAUGCUGCUUUUUUGUUAUCUUGUGUUCUAACAAAGACGAUCAAGGAUGAUUUCCUUUGUGGCUGAGGUAUCUGAGGUGGGUGUGUUAACUAGGAGGAGUAAAUUAGGCUGGUUGCAGUGUGCUAGUAUGAAGAUUACCUAUUCAGAGCAGUAAAAAAAGCAUCUUAGUUUGCUGUUUUUGUAAAACAUAAGCAAGAUGUCAUCAAGCCACAUAGAUCCAUAAUGCGACUUGGGGUUGAAGGAAAAUUCAAUUGGUUCAUUGAAUCGGUAAGAAGCCAAGAACCUCAUCAAGGGGAUUUGUCUUUAGAUCAGAUCCUUUUAUUUUCCACAAAUUAAAUUUAUUCUUUCCCCCUAUUACUCAUUAUUCUAGAUUUGAGUGCAUGUAUCCUCCAUUAAAUGUUACUAGAUGUAAGCAGGUACAUCACUUGGAAAGACAAAAAUAGAUGGUUUCUCACUAUUUUCGAAAGAAAUAGAAACCCAUGCAAUGAAAAAAAAACGGAAACUAAAUGAAACACACAUGAUGAAGAUUGAUGGAUGGUCUCGAUUUAAUGUGAGGAUGAUGCUGUCCGUGCAUAGACCUCACUUAAAGUGAGGCACAUUAUAUUACUGGAGGUCUUAGUUGUAUCCCUAGAAAAAAAUUGGUUUAUGUUUCUGGUAUGCAACUGAGAUUUUAGUUCUUCUCAUAAGCAAUCUAGUAGACCAGUCAGAUGAUGCUUUACUUCUUUGGUUUCAGAAUACCCGUGACGGAUACCUUCUUGCAGUUUUGUGUACACUGCCGGUGUAAAUUCGCAGCGCCCCGCUGAUCUUCAUUCCAUAUAUUAAAGCAGAAGUUUUGUCGAUAAAUCAUCGUCGAGCCAAUUUUUUUCUUUGAUUAUAACCAUUUAGUUGUGACAGAAUAUACUACUAUUGAUAGCUUUUAACUGUAGAUAUUGAGGUUUCCAACAGGUCAUGUUGUCAACACAAGUUGGAGACUGUUUUGAGUAAUUCUUGAUCCAGUGAUCCAUGGAAUAAAAAGUCGUCUUUCUUUUUGUGUUGUAAACUUGAUCAAAGGUAAAAGGAUGCAUGUUUAUAU